UAUUAAGCCAGCCGCCGCGGUAAUACGUAGGGGGCAAGCGUUAUCCGGAUUUACUGGGUGUAAAGGGAGCGUAGACGGCAAGGCAAGUCUGAUGUGAACACCCAGGGCUUAACCCUGGGACUGCAUUGGAAACUGUCUGGCUCGAGUGCCGGAGAGGUAAGCGGAAUUCCUAGUGUAGCGGUGAAAUGCGUAGAUAUUAGGAAGAACACCAGUGGCGAAGGCGGCUUACUGGACGGUAACUGACGUUGAGGCUCGAAAGCGUGGGGAGCAAACAGG
Molecule: ribosomal RNA, 276 nt
Filed under: Fusicatenibacter saccharivorans
Lineage: Bacteria; Bacillati; Bacillota; Clostridia; Lachnospirales; Lachnospiraceae
Description: partial 16S ribosomal RNA
Rfam family: Bacterial small subunit ribosomal RNA
Source: RNAcentral